CCUACGGGGGGCAGCAGUGAGGAAUAUUGGUCAAUGGCCGGAAGGCUGAACCAGCCAAGUCGCGUGAGGGACGACUGCCCUAUGGGUUGUAAACCUCUUUUAUAAGGGAAGAAGAAAUGCUACGUGUAGCAUGAUGCCUGUACCUUAUGAAUAAGCAUCGGCUAACGCCGUGCCAGCAGCCGCGGUAAGACGGAGGAUGCGAGCGUUCUCCGGAUUUAUUGGGUUUAAAGGGUGCGUAGGCGGUUUUGUAAGGUAGUGGUUAAACGUCGGGGCUUCACCUUGAUUUGCCAUUAAUACUGUAAGACUCGAGUUCAGACGAGGUAGGCGGACUCCGUUCCGUAGCGGU
Molecule: ribosomal RNA, 346 nt
Filed under: uncultured bacterium
Lineage: Bacteria
Description: partial 16S ribosomal RNA
Rfam family: Bacterial small subunit ribosomal RNA
Source: RNAcentral